RNAcentral lists this ribosomal RNA (238 nucleotides) under uncultured bacterium. RNAcentral's name for it is "partial 16S ribosomal RNA". It matches the Rfam family "Bacterial small subunit ribosomal RNA", at positions 15 to 236 of the family's 1533-position model. The record is from RNAcentral.
GAUCCGGCUCAGGAUGAACGCUGGCGGCGUGCUUAACACAUGCAAGUCGAACGAAGCACUUUAAUUGAUUUCUUCGGAAUGAAGUUUUUGUGACUGAGUGGCGGACGGGUGAGUAACGCGUGGGUAACCUGCCUCAUACAGGGGGAUAACAGUUGGAAACGACUGCUAAUACCGCAUAAGCGCACAGGAUUGCAUGAUCCAGUGUGAAAAACUCCGGUGGUAUGAGAUGGACCCGCGU